CCGCUGCUUGCCGGGUCCCGGCCCGGCGACGCGCGCUCACACCCUCCUCCCGAGCCGCCCUCACGCCGAGCGCUGCGGACGGGGGCGCGCAACCUGCCGCCGGCCGGGACCCUGCGGCGAGUGCCGGAACCCGGCCGGGCGGGGCCUCCCGCGGCCCGGCCGCUUUAUUGGGUCACCGGCCUCGCCCACCGCCCUGCCAGCCGCAGCCAUCUCGGCGGGCGCGCCGCUCGCAGCCAGCGCCCCAUCCCCAGGCCUGCACGUACGUCGUCGGCGAUCCGGGGCCGGGGGCGGCUCCGAGGUCGUCGGGGCCGGGGUCCCACCUCCUCUUGGAGGAAGCGCCGCCUCCCCACCCGCCCGGGGCCCUCGCCAAGUGGCUGCUAACAAAGCCCAGGGCCCGGCUGCGGGAUGGUUGACUGACAAAGUCAUGCCUGCCUAGCCAGCUUCCUCGUGCAGCACGGUGAAGGCUGGGGCGCCGGGUUUUUACUCCCACGUCCUGCCAACUCGAGCUGACAAGGCGGGCAAUCCACCAGCGGGAGCGUUGGCAGGCCCGGGGUCAGAUCCUGAUUCAGCCAGUUAAUUGGAGCUGAACACUGCCCCGAGAAUGCAACAGAACUUCAGCUCUGUCCCAAGGUCGUCAGCCACAGCUCCAAGUUUCUUAGCAUCAGCUUUUUCUGAACAAAAUAGUGCAUCCUGCUGGAAUCACUACUGUAAACUGAGUAUAAAGGAAAAUAAACCCUCUUUUUCUUAUCCACUAUGUUCCCUACUCCCGUGCUUUUCCCAGUGCUCCAGGUUAGUAGAGGCAAAAGAAUUCCCCACUGAUGAGGUACUACAUCCUACACAAUUUGUUCCACACAUUUUAAUUUCAUUAAGAGAAAACAAAGAUGUUUAAACAGUGAGCACUAAAUGGAUUAGAGUGGCAGUAGUAAAUUUCCUUUGUGCCUUUCUCUUAGAAUUUAGAAAGCUUUAGUUGCAAUCCC
Molecule: long non-coding RNA, 977 nt
Filed under: Homo sapiens (human)
Lineage: Eukaryota; Metazoa; Chordata; Mammalia; Primates; Hominidae
Description: HSALNT0392901
Source: RNAcentral